GAUACUACAGCUGCGACCAUGGAGACCAUGGAUAGGAGUUCAGAAGCAACCUGUUUCUCCAUCAAUCUGUUCUCUGUGAAUGAGGACCAGGUACAGGGAGAGAUACAGGUGGCCAAACAGAGGCAACACCAAGGCCUUUCUCUACAGUUGAGCACAGGGCUGGAGGAGACAGAGCUCACUAUUCAGGAUGGUGAUGGGGCCUGUGUAUUCAAAUUCACAGUCACCAGGGAAACAGACUGUUGUCGGGUGGGCACCCAAUCUUUCCUCAUAACCGUUGGCUGCCUGAGUGUUCUCUUGCAAUUCAGAACACAGAGUGAGUUUCAGGAGUUCCACAGACAGCUGAGAAGAGAAGAUAAGCCAGCAGUGUUUGACCAGAGAACUGAAGACUCCUCAGCCCUGCAGUACUUCCAGUUUUAUGGCUGUUUAUCACAACAACAGAAUAUGCUGCAGGAUUAUUUGAGGACAGCCACGUAUCAAAAGGCCAUUCUGCUAAACGAGACGGAUUUCAAGGACAAGAUAGUACUUGAUGUUGGCAGUGGAUCAGGGAUCCUGUCUUUUUUCGCCAUCCAGGCAGGAGCGAAGAGGGUAUAUGCUGUGGAGGCCAGCCCUGUAGCCAAAUUUGCAGAGAUGCUUGUAAAGAGCAAUCAUCUGUCAGAUAGGAUCAUAGUCCUGGCUGGAAAGAUUGAGGAGGUGUCGUGCCCUGAGCAGGUGGACGUGAUCAUCUCAGAGCCCAUUGGCUACAUGCUGCUGAACGAGAGGAUGCUGGAGAGCUACCUCCACUCCAGGAAGUGGCUCAAACCCAAGGGUAUGAUGUUCCCAACCUGCAGUGACAUGCACCUCGCUCCCUUCACUGACGAGCAGCUCUACAUCGAGCACUAUGGACGCUCUAGCUUCUGGCACCAGACCUGUUUCUACGGGGUUAACCUGAGCGGUCUUCACAGUUCUGCAGUUGAUGAGUUUUUCAAACAGCCCAUAGUUGAUACAUUUGAGAUGUCGAUUCUAAUGGCAAAAUCUGUCAAGCACUGCAUCAAUUUCAUGGAGGCUAAAGAAGAGGACUUACACAGGAUGGAGAUUCCAUUUGUGUUUAAACUGCUCCAGUCGGGAUUGAUCCAUGGGCUGGCCUUCUGGUUUGACGUAGCAUUUGUAGGAUCCAAGAUGACAGUGUGGCUGUCCACUGCUCCUAGUGAACCUCUGACUCACUGGUACCAGGUCCGCUGUCUCUUCCAGACCCCUCUGUUUGGCAAGGUGGGACAGACUCUGUCCGGAUCUGUCCAGUUCAUAGCCAACACAAGGCAGAGCUAUGACAUUCACAUCACAGCAGUUGUUGAUCAGUCCGGCUUCAAAUCUGGCAACAGUUUGGAUCUAAAGAAUCCUUUCUUCAGGGUACACAGUUGGCUGCUGGUGUAAGAACCUCCAGACAAUGCAGGAGCAAAGAGUGUGGACAGACCCUUUACAGACUAGAGUCUGUGCCACUGUGGCACAAGCCCUGGGACUAUAGGCUAGGUAUGCCUGAAGUGAUGAUCACCAAUCAAGUUCCAGGAGCCUUCAUGUCCUUCGCUAUAAAACUGUCCAUGAAAGAACUUUGAAUGUACAUUAAUAUGUUUUUAUUUUGUAUAAUCAUAUAGCCAAAGCUACAGUUCAUUUAUUAUAGUGUACAGGGACACCAAGUGGAAAUAAGUGGAUCUACAAUAUCAAUGCAAUUAAGAGAGAGAGAUACAAGUGUAUGUAUUGUAAACCUGUAACCCAAAACCAAUAAACUUGUGUUA
RNA transcript from Coregonus clupeaformis (lake whitefish), 1766 nucleotides. It is a transcript of the gene named coactivator-associated arginine methyltransferase 1, like, with no coding region annotated. NCBI's taxonomy places the organism in Eukaryota, Metazoa, Chordata, Actinopteri, Salmoniformes, Salmonidae. The transcript is spliced from 14 exons. The record is from RefSeq and is a predicted model, not a curated record.